RNAcentral lists this ribosomal RNA (1131 nucleotides) under Triticum aestivum (bread wheat). RNAcentral describes it as "partial small subunit ribosomal RNA". The record is from RNAcentral. Lineage: Eukaryota; Viridiplantae; Streptophyta; Magnoliopsida; Poales; Poaceae.
AUGAAAGGGAUCUGCUACAAGUGCAAAGAACCAUGGUUUCCUGGCCACAAGAAAGUUGGCAAAUUGGCAAAUCAAAUGCAGAUUCAAGCCUUGCAAGAGACCUGCCCUGAGGAUGCAGAAUUGGUCUACUACACGGCUGAUGAUACUGAAGCUCCACCUCCCACUGACUUGAAUGACACCCCCUUGCAAAUCUCUAUGCAUGCCCUCAUGGGAGUUACUUCCUCCAAGCUGAGUUUCACUGUGACAGUCAUGUUGGGAGACAAACCUGCAACUGCCCUCAUUGACAGUGGAAGCACUGCAACAUUUGUAACUCCUGCACUAGCAAAGUUGGCUCUGUGUGCCCUCACACCAACUAAGAAAAAGAAAGUGUUAGUGGCCAAUGGAGCAACUUUAUGGACUGAAUUCAUUGCUCUCCAAUGCCCUUUUGCGGUGCAAGGAACUGAAUUUUCCCAUGAUUUCAGAGUCCUACAGUUGCAAGGUUAUGAUGUGAUACUGGGAGCUGAUUGGAUGAAAAUUGUUAGUCCUGUACAGCUAGAUUUUGAGGAAAUGGAAGUACAAGUCACCCGGAAAUCAGGAGAAAAGAAAAUCUUCAAGGAUGAAAGCCUACCCAGUGAGCCAGUUCAAGAAAUGGACAGUAUGGAGCACUUAUCUGAUGACAAUAUCUGUGAGGCUGUGUUGCUGCUAAACAGAAUUGCUCUGACAGAACAUGAGGACACUGUUGUUCCCCCUCCUGUCCAAGAACUUCUGGGUCAGUACAAAGAUAUUUUUGGAACUCCUACUGAUUUACCUCCUAAGAGAACUGUUGAUCAUGCUAUUCCCUUUGAACCUGGUGCAAAAGUUAUAAACCAAAGGCCAUACAGACUGCCUUAUCACCAAAAGGAAGCUAUGGAACAGAUCAUUCAGGAAAUGAUUAAAAACAAAGUGAUCAGAGACAGUUCAAGUCCUUACUCCUCUCCUGCAAUUUUGGUGAAAAAGAAAGACCUAUCCUGGAGACUUUGCAAUGAUUUCAGAAAGGUCAAUACUCAGACUAUCAAAAACAAGUACCCCAUCCCUGUUAUUGAGGACUUGUUGGAUGAACUGCAUGGAGCCACUAUUUUCACUAAACUUGAUCUCAGAAGUGGAUACCAUUAG